AUGGUUGAGUUAAAGACAGCUCAUUCUUCCUACUCUCAUUCCUCUGGCACUUGGUGGCAAGAUUCCAGCACAGCAGGUGUAAUCAAUAGACUAUAAGUCUUUCUUGCUGCUAGUGGUUGGGGUCAGCCGUUGGUGAGCCUAAAGGAAUAAUAAGGGCCUCCCCUCUUCUGGUUAGAUCCUACUAUAGACUAGCAUAGUGUUUUCCUUUUUUCUCUUGUUUGGUCAAAUAGGUGAAAGCAUUUAGAUUUCCUGAAAUUAUUUUCUGUUUAGGGAUUAUCUUUAAGAUACUGAAUCGGAUACUUCAUGGAGACUCUUCACCUUGUUGUGUGUUGGUCCCUACCCUUAGCUCUGGGAAAAAAUUUGCCCUAGUGGUAGAAACGUUAGACUUCUGGAUCCAGAGCUCAUGGGUUUUGCCUUCAGUCAGUUCUGCUUUUGGAUUUGGUCCUGGAUGCCCUAGCUGGGCUUUGCUGCUGAUCUUUGGUUGCUGUGGUUAGGUUUCCACCAUGAGUGGCUAGAUCCCCAGAUGCUGUCUGUCUGAUUGAUUGAAGCUCUGCUUAUUGCCUGCCAUCAGAGUCACCUGAUGAUAAACUCUGUUCACCUGCAGGGCUAUCCACCUGUUGUCUACUUCUAGACCUAUCUAACGCUUAACAUCUGUCUGACUGAACUUCCUUCCUUAUCCAGCCAGUCUUCCUUUAGUUUGCUGUGAGGAUUUUCCUAACAGCCUCUCCAUCUGUCUGAUCUGGCUCCAGUGGGACAGUCUAACAUCUGUAUCUGGUCUCCUCCAGAUUGGCCAUUUGUGUUACUGACAAAAUCCCUGGUCCCAAAGCAAAAGAGAAUGGCGUACAGUGGAAAUAUGUGAGAAGCAGAAGGCGAAGAGUAUGUAAAGUGUCCAGAACUCUUCAGUCAUUAGACUGUGUUCCUGGCAACUAUUGUGUUGGUGAUUUGACAGAUUGGAAAAGUAAUUACCUCUUAUGGAAAAGUCAUCUAUUUCCUCUAUGGAAGAUGAUUAAUAUGUUUACCUUUUGUGCAUCCUUUUAAAUCCUUUGGCCAUACUUUCCAUUCCAACCACUGCUGCAGCAAUCAGUUCUUUGCAGGCUUCCAGCAUCUUCAUGCAGGUGAACGGAACAGCACCUCGCCACUGCAUCUCAGUGCCUCAGACCUAAACUGAGGAAAUGGAUCAAGAGAUUUCAGAUGAUUAUUCAGUUCAAGGCACAGAAUCAUAAUUGGUCUAGCUGUUCACAUGUACCUACAUGUCAAGUCUUCUGGAUGAUGUUGACAGCUAAGAUGUACGCUUGGAGGGAAUUCCUUGAUAAUACCUUCAGGACCAAAUGCUACUGAAAAGAAAAGAAUAUUUUAGAAAAAAGAUGCUCUAGCAAUAGCAGGAAAGAAAAAUAAAGCAAAAAUAUUGAGUGUGUCUG
Molecule: long non-coding RNA, 1418 nt
Filed under: Equus caballus (horse)
Lineage: Eukaryota; Metazoa; Chordata; Mammalia; Perissodactyla; Equidae
Description: lncRNA (ENSECAG00000051816.1)
Source: RNAcentral